RNAcentral lists this long non-coding RNA (367 nucleotides) under Bos taurus (domestic cattle). Its description in RNAcentral is "long non-coding RNA NONBTAT000555". Lineage: Eukaryota; Metazoa; Chordata; Mammalia; Artiodactyla; Bovidae. The record is from RNAcentral.
CCUUAAGAAUUUACCAAAAAUUCUUAGAAGUUAGUUCUUUAACCUAACAAGAGCAUGCAGCUAUAUGAAAGCUCGGCAUUACUCACCUCACUGAGGCUCAAGGAGAGAGAGGAGCUGUCAGGGAUCUGAACGAAGCAGGGCAUAAUGAGACUGAUGCUCUGGGGUCAGUCCCUUAAACCCAACACCUCCUUAAGUCCCUAUCAGAGGGGGAGAGGCUCAAAGACACUUUGCAAAUACCAACUUUUUAUCUGGCCUUGUUAUAAAACUGGCCUCGUGCAGGGAAGGAGAAAGCAAACAGAGCUUUUCAACUUAAGAUCCUCAUGUGAAAUCAAGUCAAUUUUUUAAAAAGGUAUUUAUUCAACACAGU